GACGAACGCUGGCGGCGUGCUUAACACAUGCAAGUCGAGCGGAAAGGCCCUGAUUUUGUGGGGUUCUCGAGUGGCGAACGGGUGCGUAACACGUGUGUAACCUGCCCUACACUUUGGUAUAACUUCAGGAAACUGGGGCUAAUCCCGUAUAGGAGCUCCCGCUGCGUGGUGGGGGUUGGAAAUUCUCGGCGGUUGUGGAUGGACUCGCGGCUUAUCAGCUUGUUGGUGGGGUAGUGGCUUACCAACGCUUUGACGGGUAGGCGGCCUGAGAGGGUGACCGGCGACAUUGGUACUGAGAUACGGCCCAGACUCCUACGGGAGGCAGCAGGGGGGAAUAUUGCACAAUGGGCGGAAGCCGGAUGCAGCAACGCCGCGGGCGGGAUGACGGCCUGCGGGUUGUAAACCGCUUUCGCUUGUGACGAAGCUUUAGUGACGGUAACGGGUAAAGAAGCACCGGCUAACUACGUG
RNAcentral lists this ribosomal RNA (468 nucleotides) under uncultured bacterium. RNAcentral's name for it is "partial 16S ribosomal RNA". It matches the Rfam family "Bacterial small subunit ribosomal RNA", at positions 28 to 507 of the family's 1533-position model. The record is from RNAcentral.